UAUCUCUAUUCGUUGUCCUCUGAAACCCUUUUCUCUGUUCUCAAAUUAACGCUGCCGCAAAACCUUUUCUUUCUUCUCGCUUCAAAAUCGCCAUAGUUGUUAGAUUUCAGUUCUCUUUCACGCUGGUUGUUUGAUUUCGAAUCUCUUUCGCGCUGGUUGUUUGAUUUCAAUUCUCUUUUGCGCUGGUUGUUAGAUUUCGAUUCUCUUUCGCGCUGGGCUGUUUUGUAACGUCAUUACAUCAAAAUAGAGAGGAGGAUACAGGUUUUACUGAAUGAUUGUACGGUACUCUUUUUGAAGGGGGUUUCUGCACCUUCUUUGACUACAGGAUCUUGAAAGUGAUGGAGGUUUUUGACAAACGAAAUGUUGAUUGUACAAGUUAAGAGUUGAGGCAUGGAGAAUGGGAUGACACUUUGAUGUACUUGGUAGGACAAGGAACCUACGACAAUGUUUAUAAAGUUCGAGAUUGAGACACAAGAGAUAUCAUGGCUCUUAAACAGAUCUAGUUUAGUACAUCAAAGGGUGUUAAUAUUAAAAUUUUGGACUUACCAAUUAUUAUUGUACAAAUAAAAAAGAACGUCUAACAAACUAGGUUGUGAUGCUUUUGUACCCAUCUCAUGAGUUGUUUUUAGGUUCACUAUACUAUAUAGUUGUUUAUUGUGGAAUAGGUGUUAGAUGCAAGUUAUUGUAAAAUCCUUAAGAUGCAAGUUAUUGUAGUUGUAAAAUCCUUAAAACUAACUUAUCAUGUUAAAGGUUUUUUGCAGCAACUUUGUUAAAUUUGUUAUUUUA
Long non-coding RNA from Vicia villosa (hairy vetch), 786 nucleotides. RefSeq lists it as uncharacterized. Lineage: Eukaryota; Viridiplantae; Streptophyta; Magnoliopsida; Fabales; Fabaceae. The transcript is spliced from 3 exons. The record is from RefSeq and is a predicted model, not a curated record.